RNAcentral lists this ribosomal RNA (253 nucleotides) under uncultured bacterium. RNAcentral describes it as "partial 16S ribosomal RNA". It matches the Rfam family "Bacterial small subunit ribosomal RNA", at positions 524 to 776 of the family's 1533-position model. The record is from RNAcentral.
UACGGAGAGGGCUAGCGUUAUUCGGAAUUAUUGGGUGUAAAGGGUGCGUAGGCUGAUUAGUAAGUUAAAAGUGAAAUCCCAGGGCUUAACUUUGGAAUUGCUUUUAAAACUACUAGUCUAGAGAUUGAAAGAGGAUAGAGGAAUUCCUAGUGUAGAGGUGAAAUUCGUAAAUAUUAGGAGGAACACCAGAGGCGAAGGCGUCUAUCUGGUUCAAAUCUGACGCUGAGGCACGAAGGCGUGGGGAGCAAACAGG